GACCGCGCCCUCCUCUCCUGCUAGCCGCCGCCGCCCCUGGACCCACCCGCGCCCUCCUCUGUUCUUUCCACUUCUCUCUCUCCUCCCUUCCCUCCCCCUCGCUUCUCUCUCCCAGGCAACCUGCGUGAGUGCGUAACGGCGUGGGCUGGAUAGCGACUCGCGAGCCCCCCUGCACCUUCACCCUUCGAGCUCCGCUCCCUCCACUGUACGCGACGCUCGAACCGAGCAUCGGAGGCGGCGCUGUCGCCGCAACCCAUCACUGGAUUGUGCGGGGGGGGGGGGGUGGAAACGAGUACGGGCAGUGUGCGGUGAGGAGCCUGAGAGGAAGGAGGAUGGGACGAGGGCGCUCAGGAGGGACAUCCUGACCCCACAGCGGUGCGCACCCAAGCUCAAAGUCCGGCAAGUUGACAUUGCUGCUGGAGGCUGGCAUUCAACUGCACUAACUAUACAGGGAGAUGUAUUUACAUUAUCUUGAUUCUUUAAUUCAGGGUUACCAUCUUAUUAUGUGCUAUUUUAUCCUGCCAAGGCACCAGAUGACACAAACAUACUGAGGGACAGGCUUUUCUUUUAUUCUUUGGAAAUAAACUUCAUGGAAAAUGUUGUCAUGUCAUUUUGGCUGCAGAUAAAUUCACUUCCUUGCUAUUUAUUCAGAGCAUGCUUUAAAGAUGUCCAGAUUAGAAAGUACCAAAAAUAUACAUAUUAUACGAUGAAAGUAACCUAGAGUGUGUUGACCACGUUGAGCCCCUGAACCAAAUACAAAGUCAGUAGUUGUUCCAAAAAAAAGCUACAGACUCAGUCUGGCUUGAGUUCCAUUGAUUCAGAUCUAUCUGUACCUUAUUCUGAAUUUUCUAGAAACAAAUAUUAAUGGCAUGGAAACAUGUAUUAUUUAGUGAUGUUUCAUUGUGUUUUGUUUUUCUAAAUAUUACCUAUUUUUCUUGGAUUUUUUAUGAUUUACCAUUGGAAGUAGGUCAUGCUGACUGGUGGGAGGAACACCGGGCGUGUAGGAGUCAUCAAGAACAGGGAGAAGAACAAGGGCAGCUUUGAGACCAUCCACGUGCUGCUUGGAGCUUUUUGCUAUGUCUAGUUUUCUCCUAUUUGUUGUACAGGAAAACAUAGAAUAGAAUUCAAAUUUGGUGGUCGCAAAAGUGUGGAGACUUUAAUUCAUAUAAAGUUAGGCUUAACAUUAGUGCAAACAGUUGUAUUUUAGUUUAGAUUUAGAGUACACUUAUGUAUGCGUUGAUUGACAAUGUUUAUUUAUGAUAUAUUGAAUGGUACUUAUUUAUAUUAUAU
Molecule: long non-coding RNA, 1290 nt
Organism: Zea mays
Lineage: Eukaryota; Viridiplantae; Streptophyta; Magnoliopsida; Poales; Poaceae
Exons: 2
Source: RefSeq, a predicted model, not a curated record